Long non-coding RNA from Equus asinus (donkey), 3767 nucleotides. Lineage: Eukaryota; Metazoa; Chordata; Mammalia; Perissodactyla; Equidae. The record is from Ensembl.
UUUUUACUUUAGAUUUUUAUUUCUUGUUAAGAUAGAUUUCUGGAAGUGGAAUUAUUGAAUUAAAGGGUAGGAAUAAUUUCAGGUACUUUGUGUCAUGGUGCAAAAGUCCAAAAGGACUGUGCAAAUGAAAGAACCAGUAUGCCCUGUAACGCCACCAACUUUGGAGUCAGUCAGUCAGUUCUAGCUCUGAAUAUCAGCAUCCAUGCUCUGUGACCUGGAACAAGUCAUUUUACCUCACUGAAUACUCUCCCAAUUUGUAAAUAAGCCAUCAAAAGAAAAAUAAUAAGGUGGCUCAUAAUAUUCACUUCAGAAAAUUGUUAGGAUUAAAAAUAAACACAGUUAAAUUUUUUUUGGUAAUAGUUGAUUUGACAAAUAUUAAUUAUUCGAUUAAGCUAAGAAAAAGACUGGAUGGCUGGGGGGAGAGGUGGCUUGGAGGAAGCCCCACAGGUAACAGGUAACAGAUAACAUUAUUACUACAUUUGUAUAUUCAUUUGGGUUACACAAAUCCAAGCUGUGCUAGGAACUUGGAAUAUAGUGAGUAACAAAAACAGAUGGAGACCAGCAUUACAUAAAAAAUUAUCGAAAGAACAUACAAUUGCAAACCACGACAAACGAACUUUUAAAUAAAGUAAGGGGAACAACGAAGAGGCUCUAGAAGAUAUCAAGCGACAUCAAAAAGACAAACUUCAAAGGUGACUAGAGCCCUUAGCCCACUGAAGGAGUAUACUUAUCAGCAACCCCUUCUGGAACUUUUUAUGUGUUUGGGGCUCUCUCCGCUAACAUCCCUAGGGGCCCGAGAGAGCUACAAAGUGGGCGGUGUGUCCAGACCGAAGGGGUGGGGCCCUGCCCCGGGGAGUGGCUCAGCACAGGAUCCCCAGGGACAACCCCGGGCAGGUCUGGGGAAGGAGGUCGGGGCCAUGGGCGCGGGCACCACGGGGUCCGACGACGCCGAGGCGCUGGACGCAGUGCUGGGCACGCUGCUGGCAGUACUGGUGCUGGUGGUGGUCAAGGCGGCCGUGGACGUGCUGCGGCGGCGGCGAGCGCACGCGACCGUCCUGGUGGUGGGCGCAGGGCCGGUGGGGCUGACCGCGGCUCUCGUCGCUGUCCGCUCGAGCCGGGUGCUGAAGCUGACCGUGCUGGACGCGUGCGCGCGGGGUCCGCUGCUGGGGCGCCCGCAGCAGAUUGCGCUGGACCCCCGCAGCGUCCGCUUCCUCCAGCCGCUGGGAGUGGACUUCGACAACAUGGAAGGCUGCUGGCGCAAUGGCCAAUUCUUCACCCGGGUCGGCGUCUUCCAGGAGCACCUGCUCAGCCUCCUGGAGAGGAAGGGCCAGCUGCCUGGCUUUCGUCUUAUUCUGGGCACCAAGUUUACAGAUGACUUCAUGAGAAAGGUGGUAGUGCCAGACUGGCCCAAAAUCAUUGUGGUGGCUGAUGGCUCCCAUGGGGAGACCUGCUCUGUUCUGGGGCUCAGUCCAGAUUAUGUAGUGGAAUCCUGCAAUGCUUACGGAGCUAACGCCACCAUCACGAGACUGGACCAGAGACAGGUGCCCACACCAGAAAUCCGAGCCCACAACCUCUACCUCGAUCUCUCUGCUUAUGGGAUCGAGUUCACUUCUGCAACAAAGGAAUCCCCAAUCUCGCAUCAGGCAGUCAAACAGCCAGGUUUCCACCUGAAAAUCUACGGAACCUUCCGCCAUCGAUAUAUCGCUUUGGCAUGUCCAGCUUCUGAUUCCAAAGUUGUUAGAUUUCUCCGUCAUACUGUCAGCUCCUCAGUCAUGAAGACCAUCUUCCACCAAGCGUUCAACGCCUACAAGAUGGACAUCGAGCCCCGCGUGAGGGACGCCGCCAUGUCCCGGGUGCAGUGCAGCAGAAGGCUGUUUGAGAUCACGCUGUCCCACCGGCGGGCCACAGCUGCCUACAUCCAGGGCAUAGGCAGGGUAGUCACUGUGGAGGGAGAGGCAGCUCGAGUGCUCAACUUUGACACGGGAUCUGGGGUGAAUCUUGGGCUCCAGGGCCUGGAGUCUUUGGAAGAAUUCAUUGGCAAGAUCGCGACAGCUGUGGAUCAGAGCGACAUCUUGGAAGCUUUGGCUGCCAAAAUAAGACACUCUAAACAGGUGGUUGAAGACUUUAAACAGAAUGGACUCCUCACGACAAUUUUCAAGUGACUGGGGGCGACACGACUGCCCCCCCAGAGGGUGACUCUUCUCCCUGCAGGGCAGAAAGGAGCUAGGAAUGAAGUUAGGCUGAAAUAGAAUUUCGUGAGUGUUGGCAAGUUAGCAAUUAUACACGAAAGCUACAUCGAAGCUUGGGGCCUUUAUAUAUAAAUUAAACAAGUGAAGUUUCCAAACUCAACGGUCUAAUUUCCAGAAGUCGCUGCAAUAGAUGUGAUGUGCUCAGCAGGGGAGAGUGCCUACCUCUGGCCCAGGAGAAAAUGUGCAUUAUUACUUCUGAGAAUUUUCAGAAUAAAACAGAAUCACUCUCUCCUUCUGAUGCUUCAGGGAAUCAGUUCUUAGCCUAUUAUGGCUGUAAAGGUUUACAAGUUACCCAGUUUAGGGGACCCUAAUCUCUUAGAUUUCAUGCAAUAGAGAAAGGCUUUGGUUUAUGGUUCGUUUUUAUUGUUAUUUGUGCAUUUUUUUUAGUGAGGUACAUAAUACUGAGAUUAUCAACUUUAUAAUUGUGUCACAAAAGGGUGUUUUAAAAAUGAAACAGGCAAACAAAAAAACAUCCUGUUGUCACUAUCUUUUCAUAAAAGAUAAGAUUUUAUUUAUUUUUUGGGGUGAGGAAGAUUUGCCCUGAGCUGACAUCCGUUGCCAAUCUUCCUCUUUUUUUUCUUUGCUUGAGGAAGUCCAGCCUCAAGCCAAUAUCCAUGCCAAUCUUCCUCCACGUUGUAUGCGGGACGCCUCCACAGCAUGGCUGACGAGUGGUGUAGGUCCGUGUCGGGGAUCCAAGCCCACCAACCUGGGCCACCGAAGCUGAGUGCGUGGAACUUCAAACACGCAGCUACAGGGCUGGCCCUGACAUUUUAACGCUAAAAAAGUAGGAAAUAAUAUACAUCAUCUAAGAAUUAUAUUUUUGCCAGGAACCUAAUAGAGUUUCCAGACUUACUUCCAGGUUAUAGCAGAAACAGGGAUAAAGGAAGAAUUUAAAUUGUAUCAGAUGGGAGCAGUCAGAAAAAUCAAGAAAAGAGGUUCAGAUGACAUUACCUGGAUUCUUCAGAAUGUCAGCGUCAUGAGGAAAAAAGGUGGGAGCACUGUUCCAGAUUAAAUGAGACCAAAGAGACAAGGAACCAAGUACAAUGCAUAAACCUCAAACGGCUCCUGGUUCGGGGGGAAAAAUAAGCUAUAAAAGAUAUUUUACAAUUGUUAAACAUAGACUACCAUAUGAUCCAGCAAUUCUACUUCUAGGUAUAUCCCCAUGGGAAAUGAAAACAUAUGUCCACAUAAAAACUUGUACAUGAACAUUCAUAGCAGCAUUAUUCAUAGUAGCCCAAAAGUGGACACAACCCAAAUGUCCAUCAGCUGAUGAAUGGGUAAAUAAAAUGUGGCAUAUUCAUAUAAUGGAAUAUUACUCAGGCUUAAAAAGGAAUGAAGUACUGAUACAUGCUACAAUAUGGAUGACCCUCAAAAACAUUAUGCUAAGUGAAAGAUGCCAGACGCAAAGGACCACAUGUUGUAUAAUUCCUUUGAUAGGAAAUGCCCAGAAUAGGCAAAUCCAUACAGACAGAAAGUAGAUUAUGGUUGCCAGGGGCUGAGGGGAAGGGAGAAUGAAGA